ACGGGUGAGUAAUGCCUAGGAAUCUGCCUGGUAGUGGGGGAUAACGUUCGGAAACGGACGCUAAUACCGCAUACGUCCUACGGGAGAAAGCAGGGGACCUUCGGGCCUUGCGCUAUCAGAUGAGCCUAGGUCGGAUUAGCUAGUUGGUGGGGUAAUGGCUCACCAAGGCGACGAUCCGUAACUGGUCUGAGAGGAUGAUCAGUCACACUGGAACUGAGACACGGUCCAGACUCCUACGGGAGGCAGCAGUGGGGAAUAUUGGACAAUGGGCGAAAGCCUGAUCCAGCCAUGCCGCGUGUGUGAAGAAGGUCUUCGGAUUGUAAAGCACUUUAAGUUGGGAGGAAGGGUUGUAGAUUAAUACUCUGCAAUUUUGACGUUACCGACAGAAUAAGCACCGGCUAACUCUGUGCCAGCAGCCGCGGUAAUACAGAGGGUGCAAGCGUUAAUCGGAAUUACUGGGCGUAAAGCGCGCGUAGGUGGUUUGUUAAGUUGGAUGUGAAAUCCCCGGGCUCAACCUGGGAACUGCAUUCAAAACUGACUGACUAGAGUAUGGUAGAGGGUGGGUGGGAUUUCCUGUGUAGCGG
RNAcentral lists this ribosomal RNA (584 nucleotides) under Pseudomonas sp. StFLB261. Its description in RNAcentral is "bacterial SSU rRNA". It matches the Rfam family "Bacterial small subunit ribosomal RNA", at positions 102 to 681 of the family's 1533-position model. Lineage: Bacteria; Pseudomonadati; Pseudomonadota; Gammaproteobacteria; Pseudomonadales; Pseudomonadaceae. The record is from RNAcentral.